CUCCUUCCAACAGCCCAAGUAGAGACAAACCACUACAGGAAAACUUUCUGCCCCUGAGGUGUUAUAAAAGUGUAACUGGAAAGGUCUAGAUAAAAUUUACUGCAAAGAUAAAAUUUACUUAACAGAGUGCAGAAAAUUGCAGUUCUGGAAACACCUUGGAGAUCUGCUGGCUGGUGGCUGAGGCUGACCAGUGUGAGGGGUAGGAGUAAUAUGCAGAGGGUGGACCUUGUAGAAUGGGGAAAAACCAGUGAGAGAAAGCACGGGCAUGGGAAGCACUUCCCACAGUGCAGCUGGCACUGUGCUUUCCCAAGAAGAGAAAGAAGUGGUCUACAGCCCUCAAACCCAGGUUGCACACACCAUUGAUCCCUUUGACUACCAGCUUCCAGACCUGCUGCCCAGGAGCCAUCGAGCUUUUCUGUGUUAUAGAGGAAGGCAACCUGGACUCUGAAGUGGCUUUAUCAGAGUCAAGAGCCUUGAUGCAGCUGGAGCCUGCUCUAUUCCUUCUAUUCACCUGAAUACCUUCAGGACAAAGGAAGUCUACCACAGCAGCAGUGUAUUCCUGGUUCUCUCUAUAUGCUCUGCCAUAAAUGAGGACUGAUCAUGGUCAUCAACUAAGCAUAACACAGCAUUAUAAAAUGGAAUUCGUUCAAUCUCUCCAUGGCAUUUCCAGAUUAUAGCAUUAACCUUUCUAAAGCACUCAGUGAUUAUUACUCA
This 714-nucleotide long non-coding RNA is filed under the name Cyanistes caeruleus (blue tit). Its description in RNAcentral is "lncRNA (ENSCCEG00000014565.1)". Lineage: Eukaryota; Metazoa; Chordata; Aves; Passeriformes; Paridae. The record is from RNAcentral.